GAUACUGAGGGGCGCUGCAACGGAGCCUUCUCCGCUACGCUCAGUCUCGUGCCAACUUUAAUUGCAAGGGCGCCCAUUCAUC
Molecule: non-coding RNA, 82 nt
Filed under: Oceanospirillum linum
Lineage: Bacteria; Pseudomonadati; Pseudomonadota; Gammaproteobacteria; Oceanospirillales; Oceanospirillaceae
Description: SAH sequence
Rfam family: SAH (S-adenosyl-L-homocysteine) riboswitch aptamer
Source: Rfam by way of RNAcentral